GGGCGCUUAGCUCAGUUGGCUAGAGCACUGCCCUUACAUGGCAGGUGUCACAGGUUCGAAUCCUGUAGCGCUCA
RNAcentral lists this transfer RNA (74 nucleotides) under Phycisphaerales bacterium. RNAcentral's name for it is "tRNA-Val". It matches the Rfam family "tRNA". From Rfam's summary of the family: Transfer RNA (tRNA) molecules are approximately 80 nucleotides in length. Their secondary structure includes four short double-helical elements and three loops (D, anti-codon, and T loops). Further hydrogen bonds mediate the characteristic L-shaped molecular structure. tRNAs have two regions of fundamental functional importance: the anti-codon, which is responsible for specific mRNA codon recognition, and the 3' end, to which the tRNAs corresponding amino acid is attached (by aminoacyl-tRNA synthetases). tRNAs cope with the degeneracy of the genetic code in two manners: having more than one tRNA (with a specific anti-codon) for a particular amino acid; and 'wobble' base-pairing, i.e. permitting non-standard base-pairing at the 3rd anti-codon position. Lineage: Bacteria; Pseudomonadati; Planctomycetota; Phycisphaerae; Phycisphaerales. The record is from RNAcentral.